RNAcentral lists this ribosomal RNA (900 nucleotides) under uncultured bacterium. RNAcentral describes it as "bacterial SSU rRNA". It matches the Rfam family "Bacterial small subunit ribosomal RNA", at positions 28 to 896 of the family's 1533-position model. The record is from RNAcentral.
GACGAACGCUGGCGGCGUGCCUAACACAUGCAAGUCGAACGGAGAAUUUCAAUAAGCUUGCUUAGAGAAAUUUUUAGUGGCGGACGGGUGAGUAACGCGUGGGUAACCUACCCAUAAACCCGGGACAACCCUUGGAAACGAGGGCUAAUACCGGAUAAUCUUAAAGCUUGGCAUCAAGUAUUAAGAAAAGGUGGCCUCUGAAUAUGCUACCGAUUAUGGAUGGACCCGCGUCUGAUUAGCUAGUUGGUGGGGUAAAGGCCUACCAAGGCGACGAUCAGUAGCCGGCCUGAGAGGGUGAACGGCCACACUGGGACUGAGACACGGCCCAGACUCCUACGGGAGGCAGCAGUGGGGAAUCUUCCGCAAUGGACGAAAGUCUGACGGAGCAGCGCCGCGUGUAUGAUGAAGGUCUUCGGAUUGUAAAGUACUGUCUUUGGGGAAGAAUGACUGGCUUGAAAAUAUUGAGCCAGUAUGACGGUACCCAAGGAGGAAGCCCCGGCUAACUACGUGCCAGCAGCCGCGGUAAUACGUAGGGGGCAAGCGUUGUCCGGAAUUAUUGGGCGUAAAGGGCGCGUAGGCGGAUGUUUAAGUCCGGUGUGAAAGAUCAGGGCUCAACCCUGAGAGUGCAUCGGAAACUGGGCAUCUUGAGGACAGGAGAGGAAAGUGGAAUUCCACGUGUAGCGGUGAAAUGCGUAGAUAUGUGGAGGAACACCAGUGGCGAAGGCGACUUUCUGGACUGUAACUGACGCUGAGGCGCGAAAGCGUGGGGAGCAAACAGGAUUAGAUACCCUGGUAGUCCACGCCGUAAACGAUGAGUGCUAGGUGUAGAGGGUAUCGACCCCUUCUGUGCCGCAGUUAACACAAUAAGCACUCCGCCUGGGGAGUACGGCCGCAAGGUUG